UACGAAGGGAGCUAGCGUUGUUCGGAAUUACUGGGCGUAAAGGGCGCGUAGGCGGCUCGAUUAGUCAGAUGUGAAAGCCCUGGGCUCAACCCGGGAACUGCGUUUGAUACUGUCGAGCUUGAAUUCGGGAGAGGUGAGUGGAAUUCCCAGUGUAGAGGUGAAAUUCGUAGAGAUUGGGAAGAACACCCGUGGCGAAGGCGGCUCACUGGACCGACAUUGACGCUGAGGCGCGAAAGCGUGGGGAGCAAAC
This 250-nucleotide ribosomal RNA is filed under the name uncultured bacterium. RNAcentral's name for it is "partial 16S ribosomal RNA". It matches the Rfam family "Bacterial small subunit ribosomal RNA", at positions 524 to 773 of the family's 1533-position model. The record is from RNAcentral.